Molecule: long non-coding RNA, 2190 nt
Filed under: Sus scrofa (pig)
Lineage: Eukaryota; Metazoa; Chordata; Mammalia; Artiodactyla; Suidae
Description: lncRNA (ENSSSCG00040028202.1)
Source: RNAcentral
CUCCAGGAAUUUUUACCACAGACAUAACUUUGUUUAGAUCCACCUUCUGUUCUUUUACCUGUUUUGAUACAAGGUAACGCUUCAUUGUUGGCUGUCAGGUAACCCCUCUUGGACUUGGUCCUCUGUUCUCUCACCUGACUAUCCAGUAUGAACCAAUUCCAUAUAAAGAUAGAGAAGGGCUUACCUGGAAAGAUCCUGUUUUUUGAACUGGGUAUGAUUUUCGGGUAAGACUUAAAUGUCUGUGCAAGAAACUUUCACGGAUAACACGAAAUUCACAGUUUCAUCUUGAAUACCCUUGAUGAGUAGCAAAUUGUAACUAAAAAAAACUAUGAAAGGAUCAGGUCAAUAUCUGUCAUUGCCAUCCCAACGGCUAUAAUUUUCAUUGGCAGGGGUGGCGGGGUGGGAGGGGUGUCUUGUGGCCCAGCACCCACUGACCUUCUCAUCUGGAAGUCAUUCCCCAGGUGUGAAUUCUUGGUAGAAAGCAAUGCCUUUUCUCCAACUACAGAAGCCAGCCUCUCCCAGAAUCUUUGCCUCUGGCCUUGAGCAUCCUGAACGUCAUGGCCUUCCCGGGACAUGAAAUGGUGACUGAGGGAUAUGAAGAGCGACGGUGGGCGUCUCCCACAAAUGGCAGUCGUUGUGUUUCCUGUCUCUUGACCCUUGGAGACACUUGGCCCCAUCAAUUCUAUUUCUCAAACUUAGCCUUCCAGGCUUGCCUUGAUCAGGUGUAUCAUCCAUCCAUCUGUCUAUCUCUCCAUCUUCAAAUAACUCCCAUUUUGUUCGGAGUUGGAACCCAUUUUCUGUUACUUGCAACCACAAGUAUUUUAUCUCCUCCUCUUCCUCCUCAACAAAGUGUUUUCAAAGGCCCACUCCCACAGCUUCAUGGGUCCCUGGGUGAAUGGCUCCGAGAAGGAUGCACCCUCUACAAGGAAGGAUGGAGUGUGCAUUUCCCCUUGGGUACCAUCCCAGUGGCUCUCUUCUCCUCUCUUGCUGUGUCUAGGACUUUGCUCCACCUGCAAGGAGGCGGUAGGAUGGGGACUCAGGCAGGCUCUGGAUUCUCAUCUCUUCUUCCUGGUUUCUAUGAGAAACAAUUUCAUAACCACAUAAUCCUGUGUGUUUGGGGGUCCUCAUUAAAUGCUAGGCACUGGCUAAUCCCUUUGCAUUACUAUGCUAUCACCACAGUAAACUUAUGAGAUUAGCAUUACCACUGUUUUUAGAGGAAAAAGAAGAAAAUGCCUUAGAUGCAGAGAAGUUAAACAGCUUGCUUCAGGUCCCCCAGCUGUGGAAGAGCAGGCCCAAGAUUCAAGCCGAAGUCUAUGCGUUUUAGUCAGUUCUGGCUUUGAUAACAAAUUACCUUACACGAGAUGGCUUCCCCAACAAACGUUUAUUUCUCACAAUUCUGCAGUGUGGCAAGUCCAGGAUCGAGCUGCCAGCAGAUGCCUUUGGUAUUUUCUUCUUUCUAUCUCAGCAUGUUUGCUCUGGAGAUAAGGUUACCUUGGUGUGUCCUUUCUAGGUUGAGAUUGGAUGGUGUGCUGGACAGUGACUGGUUAAUGCUUCUCCCUCCCACAAGAGCACAAGGUAGUCUUUCAUGGACAAACAAUGAAGUUCACACCUCCUCCUCUUCCUAAUAACAACUGCUACUGCCUUUUUUUUUUUUUUUUAAAGCUAACAAUCACUUAUAUCUUCCUAUGUGCCAGGAACUCCGCUAUUGACAUGAAUUAACCAAUUCAAUCCUUGUGACAACCCCAUGACACACGUACUAUUAUCAGCUACAUUUUUAGAUAAGAAAUCAGGCUUAGAAAUCUAAUUAACUUGCCCAAAGCCACACAACCAGUAUGUAGCAGAACUGAGGCUUUUUUAAAAUUGUGGUAAAAUAUGUAAAACAUACUAAUUUGCCUUUUUAACCACUUUAAAGUCUAUAAUUCAGGGGCAUAUAAGGUACCCAUUCACAAUGCUGUGCAAUUAUCCCCAUUAUCCGUUUCCAGAACUUUUUCAUCAUCCCAAGAGUUAAGCCUUGAAGCUGAGUUUGUGCAACUUCUAAUUUGUGAAAGGAGCCUAUUCUGCAGUGGUUAGAGCGUAAAUUCUUCAUGGGUUCAAAUUUCAGCUCUGUGAUGAAUGAGCUAUGAGAUCCUGGGGCAAGUUACUUCAUUUUUCUAAUAUCUUCAUCUGGAAAGGAUGACAAUUAAUGGUGCC